GAUGAACGCUGGCGGCGUGCCUAAUGCAUGCAAGUCGAGCGAACAGACGAGGAGCUUGCUCCUUUGACGUUAGCGGCGGACGGGUGAGUAACACGUGGAUAACCUACCUAUAAGACUGGGAUAACUUCGGGAAACCGGAGCUAAUACCGGAUAAUAUAUUGAACCGCAUGGUUCAAUAGUGAAAGACGGUUUUGCUGUCACUUAUAGAUGGAUCCGCGCCGCAUUAGCUAGUUGGUAAGGUAACGGCUUACCAAGGCAACGAUGCGUAGCCGACCUGAGAGGGUGAUCGGCCACACUGGAACUGAGACACGGUCCAGACUCCUACGGGAGGCAGCAGUAGGGAAUCUUCCGCAAUGGGCGAAAGCCUGACGGAGCAACGCCGCGUGAGUGAUGAAGGUCUUCGGAUCGUAAAACUCUGUUAUUAGGGAAGAACAAAUGUGUAAGUAACUAUGCACGUCUUGACGGUACCUAAUCAGAAAGCCACGGCUAACUACGUG
This 497-nucleotide ribosomal RNA is filed under the name uncultured bacterium. RNAcentral's name for it is "partial 16S ribosomal RNA". It matches the Rfam family "Bacterial small subunit ribosomal RNA", at positions 28 to 507 of the family's 1533-position model. The record is from RNAcentral.